UGGAGGAACAACCCCAGUGGCGGGGCCAGCUCUGGAGCCCUGGAGUCAGCCCCCGCAGUAACUCCGGAGCUCUCGGUCUGCAGGGCCUGGAGGCUCUGGGGCGGG
Molecule: microRNA precursor, 105 nt
Filed under: Canis lupus familiaris (dog)
Lineage: Eukaryota; Metazoa; Chordata; Mammalia; Carnivora; Canidae
Also listed under: 1 other name
Description: mir-8834 microRNA precursor family
Rfam family: mir-8834 microRNA precursor family
Source: Rfam by way of RNAcentral